This 909-nucleotide ribosomal RNA is filed under the name uncultured organism. RNAcentral's name for it is "bacterial SSU rRNA". It matches the Rfam family "Bacterial small subunit ribosomal RNA", at positions 23 to 972 of the family's 1533-position model. The record is from RNAcentral.
CUCAGGAUGAACGCUGGCGGUCUGCUUAACACAUGCAAGUCGAACGCAACCUUCGGGUUGAGUGGCGGACGGGUGAGUAACGCGUGAGAAUCUGCCUUGGGGUCGGGGACAACCACUGGAAACGGUGGCUAAUACCGGAUAAGCCUUUGGGUAAAAAAUUUAUUGCCCCAAGAGGAGCUCGCGUCUGAUUAGCUAGUUGGUGAGGUAAAAGCUCACCAAGGCAGCGAUCAGUAGCUGGUCUGAGAGGACGAUCAGCCACACUGGGACUGAGACACGGCCCAGACUCCUACGGGAGGCAGCAGUGGGGAAUUUUCCGCAAUGGGCGAAAGCCUGACGGAGCAAGACCGCGUGAGGGAGGAAGGCUCUUGGGUUGUAAACCUCUUUUCUCAGGGAAGAAGCUCUGACGGUACCUGAGGAAUCAGCCUCGGCUAACUCCGUGCCAGCAGCCGCGGUAAUACGGAGGAGGCAAGCGUUAUCCGGAAUUAUUGGGCGUAAAGCGUCCGCAGGUGGCGAUUCAAGUCUGCUGUCAAAGCACGGGGCUUAACUCCGUUAAGGCAGUGGAAACUGAAUAGCUAGAGUGCCGUAGGGGUAGAGGGAAUUCCCGGUGUAGCGGUGAAAUGCGUAGAGAUCGGGAAGAACAUCGGUGGCGAAAGCGCUCUACUGGACGGCAACUUGACACUCAGGGACGAAAGCUAGGGGAGCGAAUGGGAUUAGAUACCCCAGUAGUCCUAGCUGUAAACGAUGGAUACUAGGUGUAGCUUGUAUCGACCCGAGCUGUGCCGAAGCUAAACGCGUUAAGUAUCCCCGCCUGGGGAGUACGCACGCAAGUGUGAAACUCAAAGCGAAUUGACGGGGGCCCGCACAAGCGGUGGAGUAUGUGGUUUACUUCGAUUGCACGCGAAGAACCUU